Molecule: ribosomal RNA, 1327 nt
Filed under: human gut metagenome
Description: bacterial LSU rRNA
Rfam family: Bacterial large subunit ribosomal RNA
Source: RNAcentral
UGCUGGAGGUAUCAGAAGUGCGAAUGCUGACAUGAGUAACGAUAAAGCGGGUGAAAAGCCCGCUCGCCGCAAACCCAAGGUUUCCUGCUCUACGUUAAUCGGAGCAGGGUGAGUCGGUUCCUAAGGCCAGGCUGAGAAGCGUAGCUGAUGGAAAUCAGGUUAAUAUUCCUGAACCGGCGUUGAAUGCGAUGGGGUGACGGAGCAGCCAGAGUGGACCGGGUGUUGGAUGUCCCGGCUUCCGAGCGAUGGGUGCCUGCAGGCAAAUCCGCAGGCGUAUACCCAGGACGAAGGAUCGGGUCUUCUUUUGAAGACGAAGCCACUGGAAGCGCUUCCAGGAAAAACCUCUAAGCUUCAGUUCAACGGCGACCGUACCGUAAACCGACACAGGUGGGUGAGCUGAAUAUGCUCAGGCGCUUGAGAGAACUCGGGAGAAGGAACUCGGCAAAUUGACACCGUAACUUCGGAAGAAGGUGUGCCUUUGUAGCUUGAUGGGAGAGAAACCCAAAGGGCGAAGAGGUCUCAGAGAAUCGGUGGCUGUAACUGUUUACUAAAAACACAGCGCUCUGCAAAGAUGAAAGUCGACGUAUAGGGCGUGAUGCCUGCCCGGUGCUGGAAGAUUAAUUGAUGGGGUGCAAGCUCCUGAUCGAAGUCCCAGUAAACGGCGGCCGUAACUAUAACGGUCCUAAGGUAGCGAAAUUCCUUGUCGGGCAAGUUCCGACCUGCACGAAUGGCAUAAUAAUGGCCACACUGUCUCCUCCCGAGACUCAGUGAAAUUGAAAUGUUUGUGAUGAUGCAAUCUCCCCGCGGCUAGACGGAAAGACCCCAUGAACCUUAACUGUAGCUUUGCAUUGGACUUUGAACCGAUCUGUGUAGGAUAGGCGGGAGGCUUUGAAGAAUGGACGCCAGUUCAUUCGGAGCCGUCGUUGAAAUACCGCCCUGAUUUGUUUGAGGUUCUAACCUGGGCCAGUAAUCCUGGCUGGGGACCGUGCAUGGUGGGCAGUUUGACUGGGGCGGUCUCCUCCUAAAGGGUAACGGAGGAGUGCGAAGGUACGCUAAUCACGGUCGGAAAUCGUGAGGAUACUGCAAUGGGAAAAGCGUGCCUGACUGCGAGACAGACAAGUCGAGCAGAUGCGAAAGCAGGUCAUAGUGAUCCGGUGGCUUCUGCAUGGAAGGGCCAUCGCUCAACGGAUAAAAGGUACUCUGGGGAUAACAGGCUGAUACCGCCCAAGAGUUCAUAUCGACGGCGGUGUUUGGCACCUCGAUGUCGGCUCAUCUCAUCCUGGGGCUGUAGCCGGUCCCAAGGGUAUGGCUGUUCGCCAUUUAAAGA